AAAAAAAAUGUAUUUAUGGCUGUGAGGAGCCAUUAAUCUCUGCAUUUACGCUCCACACAUGGUUGUACAGCAGCUGUGAGCUCGGCCUUCCUCCUGCUUCCUUUCCUUUCUCCAGCGAUCCACUCCAAAUCUCAGCUGGGCGUUUUACUAUAGCUGAGACCCUGAAAUACUGGUUUGAGAAGCACCUUGUUAGCAUCCACUGGAAUCAUCCUCAAAAUGGAGGACUCGAGAAAAGAGAAUCAGAUGAGUCCAACUGAUCUGACUUUGAUCACCAUGAAAGCUUCCAGACAGCUUGAAACCAUCUUCUCUGGAGGAAACUACCUACCCAAGAGUAGAGCCAUUACAGAGGAAUGCAGAGAUAAGAGAUGGAGACUGACACGGUCCUGAUGACAUCAUUGGAACUGGGUCCAGCCAUACCUCCAGCUAGCAC
Long non-coding RNA from Heterocephalus glaber (naked mole-rat), 430 nucleotides. NCBI's taxonomy places the organism in Eukaryota, Metazoa, Chordata, Mammalia, Rodentia, Bathyergidae. The record is from Ensembl.